AACAUUCUUUCUUCCCUAUAAGGGAAUCCACAGUGAAGAUGCAUUAUUUCAGAGGAGACUGGAUCAAUAUUCCUUCUUCAACCUGUCACACAGAGAAGAGAGGCGCCUCUGUUUUCCCAUCAGGGAUGAGUACAGGAAACGGCAGCAUAUUUUCCACUUGGAUGGAGCCAAGAUGGCCAAAUAGGAACAGCUCCAGUCUACAGCUCCCAGCAUGAGUGACACAGAAGACAGGUGAUUUCUGCAUUUCCAACUGAGGUACCAGGUUCAUCUCACAGGGGAGUGCUGGACAGUGGGUGCAGGACUUGGUGCAGUGCACCGUGUGUGAGCUGAAGCAGGGCGAGGCAUCGCCUCACCCAGGAAGUGCAAGGUGUCAGGGAAUUCCCUUUCCUAGUCAAAGAAAGGGGUGACAGAAAGCACCUGGAAAAUCGGGUCACUCCCACUCUAAUACUUAAUACUGCACUUUUCCAAUGGGCUUCACAAAUGGCACACCAGAAGAUUAUAUCCCACACCUUGCUUGGAGGGUCCUACACCCACAGAGCCUCACUUAUUGCUAGCA
Molecule: long non-coding RNA, 556 nt
Filed under: Homo sapiens (human)
Lineage: Eukaryota; Metazoa; Chordata; Mammalia; Primates; Hominidae
Description: HSALNT0321946
Source: RNAcentral